This 251-nucleotide unclassified non-coding RNA is filed under the name Hevea brasiliensis (rubber tree). The record is from RNAcentral. Lineage: Eukaryota; Viridiplantae; Streptophyta; Magnoliopsida; Malpighiales; Euphorbiaceae.
AAUGAUUAUCUACUAGGCCUUGAAACUAAAUCCAGUUUGAUCAAUUAACAAUUUUCUCUAAGGAAAACUCUCACACGUGAAUUGGCCAAUCAACAUCUACAAACAUUGAUCAUACUCUGAUCCAUUGUGUUCACUGCGCUCAUACAACUAAACAAGCAGCCACUUGCACAUACUGUAAUCGCAUAGUACAUCAAAGAAUAAAACGAAGUUCCAGAUAGUUUCAAUUGCUUAUUGCAGAGAAGAAUACUAAC